UGUGAGGUUAAGCGACUAAGCGUACACGGUGGAUGCCCUGGCAGUCAGAGGCGAUGAAGGGCGUGCUAAUCUGCGAUAAGCGCCGGUAAGGUGAUAUGAACCGUUAUAACCGGCGAUACCCGAAUGGGGAAACCCAGUGUGAUUCGUCACACUAUCAUUAACUGAAUCCAUAGGUUAAUGAGGCGAACCGGGGGAACUGAAACAUCUAAGUACCCCGAGGAAAAGAAAUCAACCGAGAUUCCCCCAGUAGCGGCGAGCGAACGGGGAGGAGCCCAGAGCCUGAAUCAGCAUGUGUGUUAGUGGAAGCGUCUGGAAAGGCGCGCGAUACAGGGUGACAGCCCCGUACACAAAAGCGCAUGUGCUGUGAGCUCGAUGAGUAGGGCGGGACACGUGGUAUCCUGUCUGAAUAUGGGGGGACCAUCCUCCAAGGCUAAAUACUCCUGACUGACCGAUAGUGAACCAGUACCGUGAGGGAAAGGCGAAAAGAACCCCGGCGAGGGGAGUGAAAAAGAACCUGAAACCGUGUACGUACAAGCAGUGGGAGCCCCACCACCAAAGCAUUCUCUGGUGUUGAAGGCCCUGCAAAGCAGCAUCGCGGUGGCGGAGCGUCGUUUGCGACGCCCGACACACAAAACAAGCGGUGAGUGCUUUGGGGUGGGGUGACUGCGUACCUUUUGUAUAAUGGGUCAGCGACUUAUAUUCUGUAGCAAGGUUAACCGUAUAGGGGAGCCGGAGGGAAACCGAGUCUUAACUGGGCGUUAAGUUGCAGGGUAUAGACCCGAAACCCGGUGAUCUAGCCAUGGGCAGGUUGAAGGUUGGGUAACACUAACUGGAGGACCGAACCGACUAAUGUUGAAAAAUUAGCGGAUGACCUGUGGCUGGGGGUGAAAGGCCAAUCAAACCGGGAGAUAGCUGGUUCUCCCCGAAAGCUAUUUAGGUAGCGCCUCGUGAAU
Molecule: ribosomal RNA, 953 nt
Filed under: Salmonella enterica
Lineage: Bacteria; Pseudomonadati; Pseudomonadota; Gammaproteobacteria; Enterobacterales; Enterobacteriaceae
Description: partial 23S ribosomal RNA
Rfam family: Bacterial large subunit ribosomal RNA
Source: RNAcentral